AAACAGAAAUGAAUCAAUAGCUCAAACAUGUCUGUAAAUUAAACAAAAUAAUAUACAUAUCUAGAACCUGUGUAAAAUGACCUCCGAGUCGUUUGUAGCGGGUUUCUGGAAGAAAGUCUUCGCUUAUCCUGUUAUUAACCAUAUAUCUGUCUGUAACGGAAUUCAUACAAAAUAUAAGAAUUGAAAGACUUGCUAAAGAUCAAAAAUGGAGUGGGAUGGAGUGUUGUUGGGGAUGAUUAUAUACAUACUCCUCGUGGGAAUAUUGGUCAUAAUAAACGAAGCAUUCUGCAAAUCUGUCUGUUUAAAUAACGCUCGACAAGCUUUAGAUUCACAAAAAGUUCCGGAUAUUGAAUUGAACGAGAGAUCACCAACAAAACGGAGCUUCACUUACAAGAAACAUGAAAACGCUUACAUUAUUUAAAUGUCCUACCAUAGCGUAACUUACGGUGAUAGAAACGAUGUUUUGUUUUGGGGAAAUUAAAAAA
Molecule: long non-coding RNA, 485 nt
Organism: Danaus plexippus (monarch butterfly)
Lineage: Eukaryota; Metazoa; Arthropoda; Insecta; Lepidoptera; Nymphalidae
Exons: 3
Source: RefSeq, a predicted model, not a curated record